GUGAAGGAGAACUGGUGUCACCAGCGGGCAUCAGUGCGGGAGAGGGAGAAGUGCCCGGGACCUGUGUGGUGAGGAUUUCAUAUUCGAGGGAAGUCCCUUAAAGGAAAGCGACAUUAAUCAGUACUGACGCGACCAGGGAGACGCAGCUGUCGCCGAGAAGUGCACUCACGCCGUGGACGCUUGGAAAGCUGCGGCAUCUCCCACACGAUGCUUGUUCCCCCUCGUACUUUACGGGUCGUGAGGGCCCCAGAGGAGACGCUGCGGUCAUAGACACAUCCCUGCCCCGCCCUGGGAAGUCACCAAACCUCGGUUUUCUCACCUGAAAAAUGGGGCUGAUGACACCCACCUGGAAGCAGAGUCGGGAAUGAUUUCCAGUCCGCUGCCCUGGACCCUCAGCUGGCAACGCGAAUGGAAGUGCUCCUCACCACGGUGCUAUCUUACUUGGCUUCUUCCUGCUCCGCUGGGAAAGCUGCUCGCUGUUGACCCCUCGCCAGCCCCUCUCCUUCCCUCUCCUGUGUUUGGGGGCCCUGCGGAAUAUUUGGUGGGUGUGGUUUCUCUGUCAGGAAGUUACCUCUGGCCAGUGUAGUGUGAAGUCCCUAGUUGGCAGGGCUGAGGUCCGUAUAGCUCACACGAUCAGAAGUCAGGAAAUCCUUGGCUUCCAGAGAAUUCUGUCUCCUUGUUCUCACUGCUGUAGCUUGCAGGGUUGCGUUAGGGGUUUCUCAAGAAUUGUUUCCUGGGCCUGUUGUACUCUACUCCACUUCCCAUCUAACCUCUCCAACCAGUUAAUUGUUGCUUUCAGGUCCCUAUGUAUUUAUUUAUUUAUUUUAUUUUAUUUUUUUGGUACCGGGGAUCGAACUCGGGUCCUUCCGCUUGCUCAGCAGGCAGCGAAACCUCUGAGCUAAAUCCUCGGGCCCUCAGGUCCCUGUUUAAAUGCGUCUGUCCCGACAUGUAAAUACCAAAUAGCUUCUCUGGUGUGAGAAACUGAAAGUGUAAAUAAGAAUCAAAAUGUGUAACAGAUAAUGUGAAACAGGAAGAAAAGGAAAGAAGGGAAAGGAAAAAAUUUGAG
This 1066-nucleotide long non-coding RNA is filed under the name Heterocephalus glaber (naked mole-rat). RNAcentral describes it as "lncRNA (ENSHGLG00100043500.1)". The record is from RNAcentral. Lineage: Eukaryota; Metazoa; Chordata; Mammalia; Rodentia; Bathyergidae.